AGUCACUACAUUGGGGGUGACUGCGGAGCUGAAUGGCAGGAAGUCAAGAGAGUGUCCAGCGCUCACACUCUGCAGAGGUGAUAUAAGCAGCACUAACUGUGGUCUGGAGUCCCCUGCUCACACAUCUCCAUUCCUGGGGCACCAUGAAGAAUUAAUUUGGAUAAUGAUAUCUACUUUGAGAUUCCUCCUACUCUGCCUGCUCUUUGACGGAGGCUUCAUAGCAGAGGAUAACUGCUGGCAGAUUAUGUUUGACUCCUAAUUCUGAAGCGGUAAACUCAAGAGGAUUUGUCAGUUGGUCCAUCUCACCACCGUGUCUUCUACUUUUGGAGCUCCUGGAUUUUCCUCCUGUUGAUCGCCAUGGCUGUGUUUGUGUCUAUUCUCUUGGGACCCACUUGCUGCUUGUCUCCCAGAAUCAAAAUUAAGAUCUCAGUCAAAGCUCCUGUGGGGACUGGAUGACUCAGAACAGUCAGGGGAUGGGAUAUGGAGCUUUUCAUCUCUUGGUCUCCAGUUUCACUGUAGCCCCAGGUCAGGAAGUCUGGGUAGCUCAGUAUGAUUACAGAAUGGAAUAUGAUUGGUCCUGCUUUGAGCAGGGGGUUGGACUAGAUGACCUCCUGAGGUCCUUUCUAAUCCUGAUAUUCUAUGAUUCUAUGAUCUAUGACUAAACCAUUUUGAUUGGAGUCAUGGGAGCCUAAAUUAGUAGAGCUGCACAGGUACUAGAAUUUUUGCUUUGUGAAAAAUUUCAAAAUUUGUUUUCAUUCUAAAUCAGAAUUUUCCACAGAACACAACUAGAAUGUUUCAUUUCA
This is a long non-coding RNA of Gopherus evgoodei (Goodes thornscrub tortoise), 803 nucleotides long. RefSeq lists it as uncharacterized. The transcript is spliced from 3 exons. The record is from RefSeq and is a predicted model, not a curated record. NCBI's taxonomy places the organism in Eukaryota, Metazoa, Chordata, Testudines, Testudinidae.